This 253-nucleotide ribosomal RNA is filed under the name uncultured bacterium. RNAcentral's name for it is "partial 16S ribosomal RNA". It matches the Rfam family "Bacterial small subunit ribosomal RNA", at positions 524 to 776 of the family's 1533-position model. The record is from RNAcentral.
GACUGUGGAUGCAAGCGUUAUCCUGAAUCACUGGGCGUAAAGCGACUGUAGGUGGUGAUGCAAGUCACUGGUGCAAAACUCUGGCUCAACCGGAGGAAAGCCAGUGAAACUGCAUGACUAGAGUGUGGGAGAGGUAGAAGGAAUUCCCUGAGUAGCGGUGAAAUGCGUAGAUACAGGGAAGAACACCGGAGGCGAAAGCGUUCUACUGGAACACAACUGACACUGAGAGACGAAAGCUAGGGGAGCGAAUGGG